RNAcentral lists this long non-coding RNA (3441 nucleotides) under Nicotiana tabacum (common tobacco). RNAcentral's name for it is "long non-coding RNA (NTAB_LNC014332)". Lineage: Eukaryota; Viridiplantae; Streptophyta; Magnoliopsida; Solanales; Solanaceae. The record is from RNAcentral.
GGAAAUAAUAACAAAAGACUCGACAAACUUAACUAGACUAUGACAGACUCUAGCAUCAACUAAAUGACUGAAUACUAUUGUACAGGACUAGAAAGUAAAACAUGAACAAUAGACUCAAAAACAUAAAAAAGCUCCUCAGGCAGCUCCUGAAUGUAGUGGUCCUGGGGUAUCUGUUAUGUUCAAACUCUGGUAAGUAGAUCCACACCUGUAUGAGAAAACUUAAACCAAUACUAUGUGAGACAAUAACAUUCCCUGCUAGACACAUGCAAGACAUGGUUGUGACUAUUUUUUCUAAAAUUAACCUAUGUGGCAAAAAGUAACUAAAACUACAAGAUUUGGCUAAGACCUCACGAAGCCAAGAACCUCAACUCACUAGAAGACCAGACCCUAUGUGGGUUGCCUACGUAUCACGCCCCGAAAGACGAGAAUCAUGUAUGUGUAGUUCGGGCAGAUUGGAUACAGGCGAGAAUUAAAAAAAACAACUAAUUUAUAGACAAUAUGUUUUUUAUCUUUUUUUUUUGGAAAAAAGAUGAAACAUGUNNNNNNNNNNNNNNNNNNNNNNNNNGAAAUGAAUGAAAAGUGACAAAUCUAUUUUUUUUUGAAUUUUUCACGUUUUUUCUUUUUCUUAACAAAAAUGUGAAAGAAAACAUAACUGGGCCCUAUUUGCUUUAUUUUUACACUUCACUCUUUCUUUUUUUUUUCUUUUUUUUUCAUUUGCCCUCAACUAUCAUUGGUCUGCCAAAUGACCCUUUUACCUUUGAAGAUUGCAACAUGUAGCACAUAGGAUGCAUCAGGAUGGUCUUUUAAUUUUGGGUACACCUGUCCUAGACGGACCCAACCCUUGUGUUGAGUGCCCAAAGUCAAAUGCACAUGAUGCAAACAAACGUGCCUACUAGAGAUCCGGCAUGAGGUUAUGUUAUUCUAAGUUUAAACCUGGGGUUGUGUUCUUAACCUGGCUUACCCGAGCGGACAACUCAAGCCGAAGAGGGGGCAACGUACCGGGAGCACUAAAGUCUACCCAGCCUUGUUACUAGCCCAACCUCGUUCUAUUUGAUAUAACUUCUACAGAAAAAGCGGGUCACGCGAACGUGUGCACUAUUUUCAGAAGACUCAGAGGGGGGCGUAAGAGGAUAGUUAUAUACAAUUCAAAUAAUAUCAAAGCGGUAAAUAGACAGCAAUUAGCACAAAGGUUCACAAAAUACAGUAAUAUUAACAAUAAAUAAAGCCAAGUACAAUCACAAAAACAAGCUCGAAUUCUUGAACCCUGAACCAGAGAUUUUGGGUUCUUCUCCCAGUAGAGUCGCCAGAGCUGUCACACCUCCUUUUUACUACCCCGAAAGAGAUAUAAGGGAGUUUUUUCAAUUUAAAUGACAAUAGAAACGAGAUUAUUUAUAUUAAAAUCAGAGUCGCCACUUGGUAUAAUUUAUGGUGUCUCAAGUCACCGGUUUAAAUUCCGAAUCGAGGAAGUUGACUCUAUUUACGGUUUGCGAACACAGAAAUCCGUGUAAGGAAUUUUGUUAACCCGGGAGAAGGUGUUAGGCAUUCUCGAGUUCCUUGGUUCUAGCACGGUCGCUUUGAUCAUACUUGGCUUAUAAAAAUUGUCAAAUUACUCAUUUAGAACCUAUGUGCAUUUGCCUCUUUUAAUUAAUAAAUUACCUUGAAACGGGUCACGCGUACGUGUACCCAAUUGUUUGUCGCGUCAAAAAUCAUGUCACAUGAACGUGUCCACAAUUAAUAACGCUUUAUUAUUAUUAAGAAAUAUUUGGUCCAAGUUGCACGAACGCAUACCCCGAUUUUAUUUUUAAGAUCGUAAUCAUGUAACUCGAACGUGUAGAAAACCGCGAUAGUAUAUUAAACGUGCCUCAAGCAAACUACGAAUAUUAUUAUUCUUCCUAAACUUUGAGAUUAAUGUGAAGGCCAUGGGUUAUGGAAUUUGUUGUAGAAGAAAUUACGGGCUGACUUGUUGCCUUAUUAUCAUUUUUGGGCCAGCUUUGCAUUUAAUGAAAAACGACCAGCUUGGCUCUUAUAAAUUGGGUCCGGCAGAACAACUUCUUUGGCCAUGGAUUUUGGAGACUAAAUUUUGCUUGUUAAAUUAACCCAAAUACUAACUAAGAGAAACAUACGGGUGAGAACAAUUGAAACAAAAUAAUUUAAAAUGCUAAAUAAUCAUCUGAAAAGAAUGAAGCAAAUGAAAAAAAGGAUGCCAUAGCUAAAUCUCAUUAUCCUGUAUCAGUAAAAGCGUAGACCCCAAAUAUGCUCAAUAAACCUUGUAUUAACUCAUACGACCCAUUUUUAAUACCAUUCUCAAUGCCAAACCUUAUAGACCUUUAAUAACUCAAACCCCAUAACUUUUACUUUCAAGUGAGACCCAAUUCACGAUUUAAAAUUACCAACACAAAUAUUGCAUGUUCUAGACAAAUUGAUAUGCCUAAUGAGAACAAUUAAGAAUAACCAAAGCAUGGGUUGUGGAUUUCAACUUGGAGCACAUGGAAGCAAUUGCCAAAAUCAGCAAGGAACCCAGUAAUCCAACCAAAUUCACAUAAAAUCAGAGGAACACUAGCAGAAGACAAUUUCACACAAAUGAAAGAGAAUACUACAAAAAAAUGGGAAAUAUGUCUUCACAUAAGCAGUAACAUUGAAAAGUUAGAGAGAACCUCAAUUGAUAUUGUUAAACACCAAAAAUCCAAGAGGAUGAAAAAUCUCAGACCGGCUUCUAACACGACAACCUCGACAUGGGCAGCAAUCGAACUCGUCUGAACUCAAGCUGGACAGGAACACGACAGAAACUUUUCUUUGUCAAGCCCUUUUUUCGAAAGAUAUUAUCGACUACAACAACUGAAAACGAAACUCGACUACUUUCAAACUGCUCUGUUUUCAGAUAUGUUUUUUAUUCAUUUUUCAUCCUCCUCUGUGCGUUUUCGUGUGUGUCUUUGGGUUGUGAGAUGAGAGGGUUGGGGUGUCAAGAUGAAGAAGAGGUCAUCCGUAGCGGCUGUUCCAGAGAUCGAGCCGGGUGAUCGCUGAUUUCCGGCGAAGAUGGUGAGCUGAGCUUUUUUGAGUUCGGGUGUUUUUCGCUGGGAGAUGUGGUUCUUGGAGUGGAGGUCCGGCAAUUUGGUGGAGGUAUACGAUGGUUCCGAGUUUGCUGGUUCUCUGCUAGUGUUGAAGAAGAUGAAGAACGAGGGGUUGUUUGGGUAUCAAGCAGUGAAUUUUUGUGUCUUGAACAGAGGGUCCUUUGGGGUGGGGUCUAUGAAGAAGACGAGGUCAAGGGGUGGGGUUUGCUUGUACUGCGGCAGAUUUAGUCUUUUAGGCUAUUUUUCAACUCUUAGGUCCCUAGGGUCUAGGAAAUUAGGCUUCUUUUUUGUUUAUAUAGAAAGAUAUUUUAGGUUAAGGGGGUAUGAGUUUCGUAUUAUUGGGCCUUAAAAUUGGGCCAAAAACUAAAAAAAU